UUACGAAAUAUGUGUAUGUGUGUGUGUGCAGGAGGAUACAACAGGAUCUUAGACGAUCUCAGUACAGAAAAGUAUGACUCUGCAGAAGACACGUGGACCGUGAUCCCUGGCAUGAGCUUCAAUAUAAGAAACUUCAACGCAGAAGUCAUCGACGACACGAUCUUCGUGAUCGGUGGACGUUGCAAUGGGAAAACCGACUUAAGUGUCAAAUGUUGCAAAGACAAGGAAAAUCGAUGGUAUCCGGUGGCAAAGAUGAAUGUUCAUAGAAACCAUCUUUCGACUUGUGUCAUCAAGAACCUACCGAAUGCAAGAGAUUACGCAUACAAACACAGAGACAAAUUAAUGAAGAUGAAAAGCAAAACAUUUUUGGAUAGUUAAAAUCAGUAAUUUGCAGUUGAUUUCAACAACGACGAACACAUUAAUUUUAAUUAAGUACCUUAAGAAAAUAAUGUAAGAAACUGAGAAUUGAUGUAGGAUCUACAAAAAUUAAAUAAAAGGGAGAAAUAUUGUUUGCUGCAAAGAA
Zootermopsis nevadensis is the source of this 523-nucleotide non-coding RNA. The record is from RefSeq and is a predicted model, not a curated record. NCBI's taxonomy places the organism in Eukaryota, Metazoa, Arthropoda, Insecta, Blattodea, Termopsidae.